RNAcentral lists this ribosomal RNA (874 nucleotides) under Listeria monocytogenes. RNAcentral's name for it is "bacterial LSU rRNA". It matches the Rfam family "Bacterial large subunit ribosomal RNA", at positions 1 to 871 of the family's 2925-position model. Lineage: Bacteria; Bacillati; Bacillota; Bacilli; Caryophanales; Listeriaceae. The record is from RNAcentral.
AGAUUAAGUUAUUAAGGGCGCACGGUGGAUGCCUUGGCACUAGAAGCCGAUGAAGGACGUUACUAACGACGAUAUGCUUUGGGUAGCUGUAAGUAAGCGUUGAUCCAGAGAUUUCCGAAUGGGGGAACCCAGCAUGAGUUAUGUCAUGUUAUCGACAUGUGAAUUCAUAGCAUGUCAGAAGGCAGACCCGGAGAACUGAAACAUCUUAGUACCCGGAGGAAGAGAAAGAAAAAUCGAUUCCCUGAGUAGCGGCGAGCGAAACGGGAAGAGCCCAAACCAACAAGCUUGCUUGUUGGGGUUGUAGGACACUCUAUACGGAGUUACAAAAGAACAUGUUAGACGAAUCAUCUGGAAAGAUGAAUCAAAGAAGGUAAUAAUCCUGUAGUCGAAAACAUAUUCUCUCUUGAGUGGAUCCUGAGUACGACGGAGCACGUGAAAUUCCGUCGGAAUCUGGGAGGACCAUCUCCUAAGGCUAAAUACUCUCUAGUGACCGAUAGUGAACCAGUACCGUGAGGGAAAGGUGAAAAGUACCCCGGAAGGGGAGUGAAAGAGAACUUGAAACCGUGUGCUUACAAGUAGUCAGAGCCCGUUAAUGGGUGAUGGCGUGCCUUUUGUAGAAUGAACCGGCGAGUUACGAUCUGAUGCAAGGUUAAGCAGCAAAUGUGGAGCCGCAGCGAAAGCGAGUCUGAAUAGGGCGUUGAGUAUUUGGUCGUAGACCCGAAACCAGGUGAUCUACCCUUGGUCAGGUUGAAGUUCAGGUAACACUGAAUGGAGGACCGAACCGACUUACGUUGAAAAGUGAGCGGAUGAACUGAGGGUAGCGGAGAAAUUCCAAUCGAACUUGGAGAUAGCUGGUUCUCUCCGAAAUAGCUUU